Molecule: non-coding RNA, 111 nt
Filed under: Carlito syrichta (Philippine tarsier)
Lineage: Eukaryota; Metazoa; Chordata; Mammalia; Primates; Tarsiidae
Source: RNAcentral
GAGGUUCAAAGGCAGUGAGUUAUCUCAAUCAGUUGUUCACAGUCAGCUACAGAGCGAACUCCUAGUUCUAUUCUUUCCCCUCUCCAAAAUUCUUCACUUAACUAGUCUUAA